RNAcentral lists this ribosomal RNA (325 nucleotides) under uncultured eukaryote. RNAcentral's name for it is "partial 18S ribosomal RNA". It matches the Rfam family "Eukaryotic small subunit ribosomal RNA", at positions 1470 to 1796 of the family's 1831-position model. The record is from RNAcentral.
CCCUUAGAUGUUCUGGGCCGCACGCGUGCUACACUGAUGCAUUCAACGAGCCUAUCCUUGACCGACAGGUCCGGGUAAUCUUUGAAUCUGCAUCGUGACGGGGAUAGAUUAUUGCAAUUAUUAAUCUUCAACGAGGAAUGCCUAGUAGGCGCAAGUCAUCAGCUUGCGUCGAUUACGUCCCUGCCCUUUGUACACACCGCCCGUCGUUCCUACCGAUUGGGUGUGCUGGUGAAAUGUUCGGAUCGGCCGUUUGUCGCGGUUUCCGCGUCAUGUGGCUGAGAAGUUCAUUAAACCCUCCCACCUAGAGGAAGGAGAAGUCGUAACA